Molecule: ribosomal RNA, 115 nt
Filed under: Danio rerio (zebrafish)
Lineage: Eukaryota; Metazoa; Chordata; Actinopteri; Cypriniformes; Danionidae
Source: RNAcentral
GCCAACAGCUAGCUCUCUGCAACUCUCACAUGGUCGCCCAGUGAAGCUAAGCAGGGCUGCGCCCGGUCAGUACCUGGAUGGGAGACCACAUGGGAAAGCUAGGUUGCUGCCGGAA